AGUCCAAACCAUGAAUGUAACUGAAAUCAGCCCCUCCAAAUUCAACUCUCCAAAGUAGUUGUGUAGAUUCUAAAUUCAACCUAAAGCCAGAAAAAAACGCACACUACACUCUAGACUAGAGGACUCCAACUCCAAACUCCAAAUUCACCCCUCAAAGUAAAAUCUGCAUCCUCAAAAUAUGAAAAUCCACUCCAAAUUCAUUCCCAGAACAACAAUUAAUGGAAAACACUCUUGAUCCGCGAUGCACAUAGCACAUUGAAUCUCUCUCUCUCUCUCUCUGUUUCUCUCAUCUCACAAAGUUAAAACCAGCCCAGAAUCCUGAGUAAAAACCCAUUUGGAAUUCAUGAUCUCAUUGAAUUUUUUCACUUGUUUUGUAUUUGUAUAGUUAGUUCUUAAGAAGAGGCGAUGAAUACAGCGGCUAAUAAUAACACCAUGUCCUCUGCAUCGGCGUCUGGGAGCAACGCGCAGGCGCCGAGUUUGAAGACGUAUUUUAAGACCCCGGAAGGUAAAUACAAACUUCAGUAUGAAAAAACUCAUCCCCCGGGUCUUCUUCACUACGCUCAUGGCAAAACUGUGACCCAGGUGACUCUUGGUCAUAUUAAGGAUAAGCCAAUGCAGGCACCAUUACAGUCAUCUUCAAGUUUGGGUGUAACCAGUGGAGUUAGAUCAGCAGCAGCGAGAUUGCUGGGUGGUGGGAAUGGGAGUAGGGCACUUAGUUUUGUUGGAGGGAAUGGUGGAAGUAAGUCAAUGAAUGGGACUAGUACUAGAUUGGGAUCAUUUGGGCCUUCAGGUUCAAAUAAUGUGGUUGGAAAUUCAAACUUUGAUGGCAAAGGGACUUACUUGGUGUUCAAUGUUGGUGAUGCAAUUUUCAUCAGUGACCUAAAUUCUCAGGAUAAGGAUCCCAUAAAAGCUAUACAUUUCAGUAAUUCAAAUCCAGUUUGCCAUGCAUAUGACCCCGAUGCAAAAGAUGGACAUGAUUUGCUUAUUGGUUUACACUCUGGAGAUGUUUAUUCAAUGUCUCUAAGACAACAAUUACAAGAUGCUGGAAAGAAGCUUGUGGGGGCUCAACAUUAUAAUAAAGAUGGUUCUGUUAAUAAUAGUCGAUGUACUUGCAUCGCGUGGAUUCCAAAUGGUGAUGGCUCAUUUAUAGUUGCUCAUGCGGAUGGCAAUAUGUAUGUAUAUGAAAAGAAUAAAGAUGGUUCUGGUGAUGCUUCAUUCCCUGUGGUCAAGGAUCAGACACAAUUUUCUGUAGCACAUGCCCGCUACAGUAAGAAUCCAGUUGCUAGAUGGCAUAUAUGCCUGGGUUCAAUAAAUGGCAUUGCUUUUUCAACAGAUGGUUCUUAUGUAGCAACAGUAGGAAGGGAUGGUUACCUACGAGUGUUUGACUACAAAAAUGAACAGCUAGUUUGUGGUGGAAAGAGCUAUUAUGGUGCUCUUUUGUGUUGUGCGUGGAGCAUGGACGGAAAAUACAUUUUGGCUGGAGGAGAGGAUGACCUAGUUCAAGUUUGGAGUAUGGAAGAUAGAAAGAUUGUAGCAUGGGGAGAUGGACACAACUCAUGGGUCAGUGGAGUGGCAUUUGAUUCAUAUUGGCUGGCUCCAAAUUCAGAUGGCGUGGGGGGAAACAUUGUAUACCGUUUUGGUUCUGUUGGCCAGGACACACAACUCCUACUAUGGGAUCUGGAAAUAGAGGAGCUCGUCGUACCAGUUCGUCGCCCACCAGGUGGAUCUCCCACUUUUAGUACCGGAAGUCAGUCAUCUCACUGGGACAGUGCUUGCCCUGCCGGUACCUUGCAACCUGCUCCAAGCAUGCGAGAUGUUCCGAAGCUCUCUCCAUUGGUUGCUCACCGUGUUCACACAGAACCUCUCUCUGGUUUGACAUUCACUCAGGAAUCCGUUCUCACAGUUUGCCGGGAGGGGCACAUCAAGAUUUGGACCAGACCAGGUUUUGCUGAAAGCCAAAUGAGCAACUCUGAUUCUCUCACGAGUUUGAGCUUGAAGGAAAAAUCAUCGAUAUCGGGGAAAGUUGUCACUUUGAGUUACAAACAAUGAGUCAAUGAUCAAAGCUUAAAGGAUAUCUGCUGUUGCCAUUUGGACAGGCUUCCACUGAAUGAUUAACUGACAAAGGCCAGUGUAUAGACAGAGGGCUGAAAUGGAUUUUCAAUCGCCAUGGGAUUGAGAGAAGCAUGUUGCAACCUCAUUCUGAAAGCAGUUUAGAUUCUGGAGCCAGACUGAUCCUUCCAAAGGGUUCUGCGAUUAUUUUUUAACUGGAGUGGUGGACCACAGCAUCGGAGGUCUAAAUUCAAUUAUCAGAUGGUCAUUUCUUCAAACAGCUGCAAGGGGGGUGUGGUUUUUAUGCAACAUACAGCGCACGGAGUACACACCCUUGGUUGCUUGCUAAACAUUGUAUAAUGAGAGUUACCAAGAAAUGGUCAAUUAGAUAGCUAAGCUGAAAGGGUAGUUGUUCAAUGGUUUUGUGCAUGAAUAAAAUGGAACACUGAAACCGGACAGGCCACACUUUUUAUAUCUUGUGUCAUGUAAAAGAAGGCUACAAUCGAAGGAUGGCAAUAUGUGCUUUUCUGAAAUCAUUCUUGAAAGAAAUUAAUAGGCUAAUAAGAUCAUAGUGUACUACAAACACAUUUGCCUACCAAAGAGGCUUCCAAUCUGAUUAUUGAAGUCCCGGAAGUGCAGGUACAGGGCAAUGAGGGCAUGGCCAGGAGGAAGGAAAAAAGAGUAAAAAAUUACAAUCAAACAAAAACUUUACAGAAUCAGAGCCAGCAUUAGAUUAUUUUCAUCAUUCUUCAGUACCAUUGUU
Molecule: RNA transcript, 2812 nt
Organism: Sesamum indicum (sesame)
Lineage: Eukaryota; Viridiplantae; Streptophyta; Magnoliopsida; Lamiales; Pedaliaceae
Source: RefSeq, a predicted model, not a curated record